UCUCACAAAUAUUUAUCAUGAGAUCUGGGCUCGGCCCGAUGAUUCCCGUCCUCCAUAAUUCCGCUGACCUCUUGCAGAGAGUCGGCUGGAUUGGCCACGUGGAAACGCUUCGGCUUUCCAUUCUUGACGACCUGGGUUUGAAUCUCUGGUCCCACCCCUUGAAAAUAUUUACAUGGGGUCUGGGCCCGACCCAUCGAUGCCCAUCCUCCACAGCUGGCUGACUCCUCCACAGGGUAAGCAACCUGUGAAAGGGUUUGUUUUGCUCUACAUUUAAUACUUUGCAUGAGUGGAAAGUGGCGUCAUCUAUUGAAAUUUAAAUAAAAAAUCACUAAACGAAGUGAAACGAACUGGAAACCGCUACACAUAAACAAUUUUACUACAUAAAAAAACAGGAUGGAUCAAAAUGGAAAAAAAAUCAAUAUCAGGUUUUACUCAUUCCAGUUUUACCCAUCGGAUUCGACGCUUCGUUACCAAUACGGCAAUCACAUACAUGUACAACUGUUAAGAGUGUAUAAUAAUAGCGCUUUAGUGUUCAAUAUAUUGUAAAUGGUGUAAUUUAUUGACAUAAAAUGAUUGAUUGGCAAGCCUGGAAACAGCUUCUUUCUCUAUGUAGUUUGAUGUCGCUUUCACCAAUAUGUACUUUUUUUUGUCAACAGAUGACGCCACUUUCCACUCAGUAAGAGUACUAACAAGGAAGGUUAGAUAGCCCGGAA
This 713-nucleotide long non-coding RNA is filed under the name Androctonus crassicauda. The record is from RNAcentral. Lineage: Eukaryota; Metazoa; Arthropoda; Arachnida; Scorpiones; Buthidae.